CGUUCCAUUGUUUCUAUCGAAUCGAAUAGCCGAGCCCUAAUCUCUCAUCUCUGAUCUCUCCCUCAUCUAGCCGACAAGCCCUCAUCUCAUCUCUCUCUCCCUUGUUCUUCUCAAUUCCCACACCGACGUCGUUCCGGCCGAGCACGACAAGUGGGUACACCCCCCUUUCUCGGCCAACUUGGACUCGAACGGUGACGUUUACGCCAGGGGGUCCCAGGACAUGAAGUGCGUCGGGAUUCAGUACUUGGAGGCGAUUCGACGGCUCAAGGCUUCUGGGUUUAAGCCCAAAAGGUCUGUUUAUUUGUCAUAUGGUCCUGAUGAGGAGAUUGGGGGACACGACGGUGCUGAGAAGCUGGCUGAAUCUAAUGUUUUCAAGGGAUUGAACGUCGGAAUUAUGCUUGAUGAAGGCUCGGAUUGUAAUCCUUGAGAAACCCACUGCCGUAAAUCUGCCUUAAGAGCUGCAAUUUUCCUAGAGUCAUAUAUAUAUCGAUCAAUUACUCAACUUUGAUGAUAGAAGUCAUAACGUUUGUUCUGCUUGCUUCCAGUUUCUGGAAUUCAAGACAAGUAUCCAGACAAUUUUGACCUUGAUAUAUUAACAAUGGUCGUGAAGAGAAAGAAGAAGAUGAUUAUAGGUUGUACCAUAAGAGGGAGAUCAAUGAAUUUCGUUACCCUUAAAAACGGUUGAAUUUCAUUUAUUGUGUUCUGGAAAAUGAG
Molecule: long non-coding RNA, 714 nt
Organism: Malus domestica (apple)
Lineage: Eukaryota; Viridiplantae; Streptophyta; Magnoliopsida; Rosales; Rosaceae
Source: RefSeq, a predicted model, not a curated record